This 930-nucleotide long non-coding RNA is filed under the name Brachypodium distachyon (stiff brome). RNAcentral's name for it is "long non-coding RNA (BDIS_LNC004017)". The record is from RNAcentral. Lineage: Eukaryota; Viridiplantae; Streptophyta; Magnoliopsida; Poales; Poaceae.
CCUACUGGAAUUUCAUGAGAAAUGAAUAUUUAUAUUUUAUUUAGGACAUUGGAAUUAAUUGGGUACGUCCAAAUGAUUACCUUGAGGAAAUGGUCGCUGCAAAUGCAUUAUUGGAAUUUAGUGUGUACAGAGUCUGAAAAUAAUGAUUGAGACGUCCUUUUAAUGCCAGGAACUUACAAUAUUGUUGAUUUGUUGUACUAGCAGAUUCAACAUUCCAAUGACUUUCUCAACUAAUAAAAAAAUAAAAAUAAAAUCCAAUGGCCAGCACCCAGCAAGUGGAUGACCAACUGAUCCCUCGUGAUCCACGAAUACUCAACCAGAAGAAAUCACGGCCUUAAUACGAGGUUACAAGGCUACCAUCCUUGUUGAUCCGAAGAAGGUAUUCUCUACCCGCCAAGCCUGCUUUCGAAGACAAACGUCACAAACCCGUAGUUAUUUUCACAUUAGUACGUAUCACAACUUCACAGGCGAUUCUCGGUGGUGCAGACGCACCAACGUUUCCACCAACAAUUUUCUUGUGCAAAUUCCUCCGAUCUCUAAUCCCUUCCUUUGAUCCGGUGUCGGCACGGCCGUUAAUUUGGUCGCAUAUCGCACAGGCCACUACAAACAAAACCUUACCUUAUCCUGCACCCGCACACGCCACACUUCCAAAACCCUGAUUAAACCCCACGUUUAAUUCGCUUAACCAGAUUCAGUCACCGUCAAGAGGGAACAUGUCGCCACUGCCUCGCUCGACACUCAAUCCUCCAUCAAUUAUUAUUACUCCUCCUCCGUCCUGGCUCCUGAUCGGCACCCGUUUGUCGCUGGAUAUAUCGAUCAUCCGGCAUGGAAAGGGACGCGCUCUGCCUGCUUUGCUUUGGGCUGCUGGCUCCAUCGGUGCACUGAACUUGGGCAGGACGGUAUAGAGGCACUAGAGGAAAAGCGGCAGGG